GUCCAGUCUUCAUGGAAACACAGAGAUCCCAAUGGCGCCUCAGCAACACCUUGCCACACGCAAAGUGUUGCUGAGGCGCCAUUGGGAUCUCUGUGUUUCCAUGAAGACUGGACUUGGACUAUGAUUUGAAUCUGCUGAUAUCACCUAGCUUGGUUCUCGCUGUGUCUUAUCGUGGACCUGUUUUGGAUGACUGCACCCUCUUCAGACUUUGGAUUGAAUUUGACCUGGCUUCUGUCUACUCCCUCUGACUGACGGCUACUCCCGGCUUCUGACUAUUGGUUUGUCUUUCGGAAUUUCUGCUGCCUCCUGACCUGACCUUGGAUUCUUCUGACGAUGGCUAUUCAUCAUCCCUUUGAGGCUCUCGGCUUAUCUGCACCGUGGAAGCAGCUUUACUGCUUUUCUAGUUUGUUUAUUUUCCAGCAAUUAACUCUAUUUGUUUUCCAAAUCUGAAUUGAAGCGUUAUUUAGUUUUUUAUUGAAUGCCAGCAUGGGAAAUUAGCGUGGCUCGUUUUUGAGUUGUUAUUGUCCAAUCUACUCUCGAAACACUGAAAAGUGAAGUGUUUCAAGGAUAUUUCCUGUGUUUAUGUUAUUUUUUGGCUUAUCUUCGGAAUAAACUCUGUUUUGUAUGUUAA
This is a long non-coding RNA of Anolis carolinensis (green anole), 631 nucleotides long. RefSeq lists it as uncharacterized. NCBI's taxonomy places the organism in Eukaryota, Metazoa, Chordata, Lepidosauria, Squamata, Anolidae. The transcript is spliced from 2 exons. The record is from RefSeq and is a predicted model, not a curated record.